AGGCCACAAUUUUUUAAUGUUAGUUGAUUAGUGAUACAUUUCAGCUGAUUAGUGACACAUGCCACUUCAUUUCAGAGAAUAUUGGAUGGAAUGAGGCCCUUGGUCAUGCCUAACCGCACUAACUAGAACAGCCAUUUUAAAAUGAAAGGAAAUUCAAUCCAUUAGGAAUGCACGCUACUCUUUGAAAUGUAUAUGAGAUAAAUUCAAGGUAGCUGAUGUAGCGGCAUGUUCUCAGUAUAUUAAAGGACAAGUGUGAUUUGGCUAGGAAAGGAAUACAUAUCACCCAAAAAUGGAUGAAGGAACUGUGCAUCCUCUUUGAAGGAACAGCUUCUGUGACAUCACCAUUUGGCACACUUGUUGGAAACUCAACAGAUACAUCGAUAUAAGAACAAACCUGGAUGUGAAAGGACAUUAACACUUGGACCAGAGAAGACUGACUCAUGGUCAAGCCAGAGCCGAUCUUUUCUUCUUAUACAAAGGAGACAAUGCAAUUUGGAAGUCAGCGUGAAGGAUUCUGUGGCCAUAGAGGCACAAAUCAUCAUAUAGCCUUGAUGAUAAUGACAUUCUUCAUCCACCCCUUCCAUUUAUUAUUGACUAGAAUACUAUUAUCUUUGGCUUCUUUUGUGUUAUUUAAUAUGUUGUGAUACUGUACUCAUUUUAAUGGACUCACUUUAAUCACUCCAUUUCCAAUAGUAACAAAAACAUUUCAUACAGGUACUUCUUGCUUCCACUAGGUGACAUAUAUCAGAAAACAGGCAAAAGAAGAAAUCAUUGAAUUACAGAUUAUGUUUCAGAUGUCUGCAUGGCGAUUGUUUAGAAUGCAAUGCAUGGUGUCAGAGAAACGUUGUAGAUAAGAGUGGUAAGGUCCAAAGUGAAUCAAUCAAAAAGAAAACAAACAACUACUAAAUUCAUAAUGUUACUGAACUAUUAGUAGUAUUUCACAAUUAUAGAGAGAAAGGAAGAAAAUAAUUUGAUGGAGAGAAAAACUAACAUUAGUUAUAAACCUGUAUGCCAGACACUUCAAAGUAUCCCAUCAAAUCACAAGAAGUGCUAUUAUUUCCCUAUUUUAUAAGUGUGGAUGCUGAAACUAAGAGUUUGUGAUAUCAUGUCCAAGGUCAUUUAAA
Long non-coding RNA from Canis lupus familiaris (dog), 1124 nucleotides. RefSeq lists it as uncharacterized. The record is from RefSeq and is a predicted model, not a curated record. NCBI's taxonomy places the organism in Eukaryota, Metazoa, Chordata, Mammalia, Carnivora, Canidae. The transcript has 5 exons.